UUUUUAAAAUGAAUAUGAAAUUUGAUUUAAAUUGCAGAAAAAAUGAUUUGACAUUUUCACCUUUCUUUUUAACAUUUUAAUUUGUAACGUAGAUAGAUUUGGUAAGGUGUGCAAAGACCCAGGGCGCUUCUUCUGAUCAUCGCCACUGCAACACGCAGCAUCGCCAUUCCUCUUCCGUGGGACCCCCUAUCCUUCUGAGCAGAGGCAUUAAUGGCGGCCCUCUCUAUGCCUCCAUGACCCAUGCUCUCCUCUUUCUCCUCCCGCUUCAACUUCUCAUGUCAGCUUUUCCCAUUUCCCCCCUCAAAUUCUUCUCCUUUGUUAUGAUUCGCAGAGAUCGUAUUGGUUUUCGUUUUCCGUUUAGGGUUUUGUGUAUCGAGACGGCUAAUCAAUGUCCCUAACCGAUUCGUUGAAUUUCGGGUUUGAUCGAUUUCUGUGCACGCAUCUUCAUUCAUCGCUCCUCGUGUUCCUGAUCGGUUUGCAAUUUCACUUUAACGCCUGAAGCUUUCGUCAGCGAAUGAUAAAGAACAGUUUCCCCGCACGCAAAGUCAUCUCUCUCUCUCUCUCUACAUCCCCUGAGAGAAGAAUUUCACGUCAACAAAGCCGCGUCUUUGCUUCUUCCGAGAAAGAGCGGCUUCUGUCUCUUUUGCGCGUGUCCCGUUCUCUUCUCCAUUCCUUCCUCGUCUGAGAUGGCUCUCGAGUAUUGUAACCAGUCCAACUAUGGAGAUCAAAUUAUGGAAAGAUAAGCGCACGCGAGAGAGAGAGAGAGAGAAUGGUACGAGGAUUUUGCAGAGGAGCACCACGACGUUCAAAGACACGGGUCCCGAACAUCGAAAGGUUUUCAGACACGAACGAGAUCGGUUUGCCCGGUUGUUCCAGCCGCCAUGGAAGGCCGAGCUCUGCUUCUUCCAUUGGUGGGGAGUGUGGUCAGAGUAUCUUCAUCAUGGCGAUGAACUCGCUGAAAGUCGGACAUGGCGGCUGGCCGAUCAGGCGCGCCCGCGUUUUCUGUCCUCUUUCCCGAUCUCUCUGGACAAUCUUAGUGUCUUACCAGCAGAGCAGGGGAACUCCACCUCGAUCUCUCGAAUCGUUUGACGGCGGCUUUGCCUAAUGCUUGUACCUGAUUGACGUUGAUGAUGUCUGUUUAUUUA
Tarenaya hassleriana is the source of this 1145-nucleotide long non-coding RNA. RefSeq lists it as uncharacterized. The record is from RefSeq and is a predicted model, not a curated record. NCBI's taxonomy places the organism in Eukaryota, Viridiplantae, Streptophyta, Magnoliopsida, Brassicales, Cleomaceae. The transcript has 2 exons.